Molecule: long non-coding RNA, 2992 nt
Organism: Podarcis muralis (Common wall lizard)
Lineage: Eukaryota; Metazoa; Chordata; Lepidosauria; Squamata; Lacertidae
Source: Ensembl
ACCUAGUGGGGCUGCUAGGUUGUCAGGGAGGCAUGGCACCAAGGUCACAGGGCGUGGCCAAUAAGGUCACAGGGGAGUGGGCAAUGCUUCCUCGCAUAAGUAAGCUCCAUACAACACAGUGGAGUUCAUUUCUCAAUGAAAUGAAUAGGGCUGUGGUAGGAACCACAAGUGCUUGGGAAGUUUAUUUUAAAAACUAAUCCAAGCCUUUUGUUCUUCAUUAUCAUCUCCUUUAUAAAAAAAACAGAGACAUUAACCUGAAUCUGACCUCACAUUUCAACCAGUAUUUCCUCCCUUGCCACAAGUUUCCUACACCAUCCCUUGAUGUAUCCUUUAUCUUAAGAUGGCUGCUUCUCAUUGAGAAGCAAACUUGUGUCUGGGCUAUACCUUAAGGUUACCAGAUAUUUUUCAGUGAAUCCAGGGACACUUUUCAACUUUAUUAGGAAUGAUAAGAUUUUGUCUGGGGACUGAUUUGUAAAUCCGGGGACUGUCCCCGGGAAACUGGGACGUCUGGUAACCUUACUAUACCUGCACCAUGUGGUGGUGGGCUGCCACAUGACUGAACAUGCUUUACAAAUGUUUUCCUUGCACGUCUUACAGGCAUGAAUGAGGUUCCAAUCUAUGAGACGUACAGCUUUCGUCCAGCUGGAAUGUAGCCUACUGCUCAAAGUUAAGAGUCACCAUGGUUGCUUCACCUCUGUCCCACCCCAUCUUUGCAUCUGGCCCAGCCCACCACAGCUGCACCUUGCAAAAAUCUGAUCUUGCCCAUGGAAUUGAAGCUUGGGAAGCAAAAUACCCAUUUGGAUUUUCUACGCAUCUGAUAAAUUCCCAUUCAGCAGGUAAGAUUGGAACAACGAGAAAAUCACUUGGAUCCGGGAGAAUUAAUCAUUACAUGCUACAAUCAAGUUACAGGUCAGGUGAAAGUGUGGACAAGCCCUUCAUGAGCAUCCAAUGAACUACAAAGCGGAAGAGGAGCAUUGCAUGGGUCUGUGAACUUGUUCUGCCUCAGUGCAUUGGGAAUGCCAAAUUGUAGUUUCCUCUUUGAUAUUAUUAUAAAUACUUUCAAAGUACAGUGUGGGAGUGUGGCUGACAUGCAAAAACUUCUGUCAACAGAAGGAAGAAAUCCUUACAGACAAAGGGCCAGGAUCAGCCUUCUGGGAAUGGGAGAAAUCAGUGCUCUGUGAACACAGAGUUCACUUCUAGUUUUACAGCACUCUAAGAAGUAGAUAGUCAGAGAGAUGCUAAGAGAGUAUACUUCUCUCUCUCUCUCUCUCUCACACACACACACCCCAAUCAUUACAAAACCAAAAUGGCACCACCCAGGAAAACAAAUGAUGUGACAUAAUGUUCACAGAACCUCAAGGUUUACAGAAAUAGAAAAAAGAAAUAUUGAGAAAACAAUUCCUUAGGGGAUAAAAUUGCUAAUUAGGUGCUAAUUUGCUACUAAAACAGGUUCAAGAUCCUUGGGUUAACUCACAAAACCCUAAACAACUGGGGCACAUAAGGGCUGCUGGAUUCCUUAUUCUCCACAUCAGUCCCUGGUGAGGCACUUUUAGUGGUCCCCUGAGGCUUAGUCAGGGUCCAUGUCUUUAAUGUGGCAGGUCCUGCCCUGUGGAACUCCCUGCCAAUAGAUGUCCAGCAGGAGUCAUCCUUGCUUUCUUUUAAGACUUACUUUUAAAAACAUACUGUUCAGACAGAAAUUUUGAUUUUGACAUUUUUAACAACCAGUUUUUAUUGACAUGUUACUGAAGUUUUUUUAACCAGUCAUUCUUGCAUUAUGUUUUUAUGUUGUGUGCUGCCUUGCUAUAUUUCCUAUGAAAGUGUUGUUUAUAAACUUUUAAAUAAAUUAAAUAUAUAUGGCUCUGUUCUGCUCUGUUCUGUUCUGUUCAGCUCUCCCUAAUCUGUCCCUCUAAAAUUACUCAGUCCUCCAUCUAUAAUGCAGGAGCCACAUCCAGAACCUGGAUGGCCUAAUGUUACCCUGAGUGUUUCAGCCCCAAGCACCUAGGCAUUUUCCUGGCUACAUGACUGCUUUGCGAUUGGCUGGAUAAUGCCAGCGGUCAGUCAAGACCUGAGUCCAAAACUCUUUAAAGUGGACUGUGGUCCAUAGUCUUUUUGUGUCUCAGUCCCUCAACUCACCAUCUACAUGUGAGGUGAGCUACAUGCAAGUAGCUAUGACUAGAUAGAGUUGAACUAAAAGGUGAUCUUUUGUUAUUUUCGCAAAGCAACGUUCUCCCUCUUCCAUUUGUCCUCAUCCUUUCUUUUAUUUAUUAAUAAAUGCCAUCGUUAGGGUUUUGCAUGUAUUUGUGCCAAAACUAUUGGGUUAUUCUAAGCUCUCACAUACCUAGUCACUUAGUUCAUACCGUGUGUGAGAGAGAAAGAGAGAGUGGAAUUUGGCAGAGAAAAACAAAUUACUUUGGUCUCUAGGGAGGGACAGGUAAGCUGGAUAUUAUCUUUGCUUCCCAAUGUAACUAUCUCCCCAGAAAGCACUCCCACUUGGUGUUCGAGGGCAGCCUCCUUCAUAGCCUCUGGCAUGACUGGUCUACCCUCACCAGACGUUGUGGAAGGAAGGGAGUACACACACACCAAAAACCAGAAAAUGGAAAUGCCUUGUGUCAGGGCUGCCUCAGGUCCCAGCUCACAAGAGACCAACGCCAAGUCCACUUUAUUUACAAAAGUCUUUAUUGAAGUACAUUGUUUGUUCCACAGCCGAGGCGCGCAGCCCCACGUCUGUUACGCUUAGACCGCUGAAGUCCCCUCUGAAUCAGUCCCGCCUCCACACCAGUUUAAGAGGCUUCUGCUGGUCCACCUCUUCCUGUCCUUCCUUUUCCGCAGGGUCUUUCUGCCCCCCUGGGUUCCGUCCCUCCUGCUUUCCCCUGACGCUGAGUCCCCAGACGCCUGUUCCCCCCUCCUCCGUGCUUUGGGACCAGGCUCCUCCUCCAGGCUCUCCGCAUUUCCGCGCGCCUCCACAUUUGAACUUGGCGCGCGUUCGCUACCC